RNAcentral lists this ribosomal RNA (465 nucleotides) under Vreelandella stevensii. Its description in RNAcentral is "partial 16S ribosomal RNA". It matches the Rfam family "Bacterial small subunit ribosomal RNA", at positions 338 to 795 of the family's 1533-position model. Lineage: Bacteria; Pseudomonadati; Pseudomonadota; Gammaproteobacteria; Oceanospirillales; Halomonadaceae. The record is from RNAcentral.
CCUACGGGGGGCAGCAGUGGGGAAUAUUGGACAAUGGGCGAAAGCCUGAUCCAGCCAUGCCGCGUGUGUGAAGAAGGCCUUCGGGUUGUAAAGCACUUUCAGUGGGGAAGAAAGCCUUGGGGCUAAUACCCUCGAGGAAGGACAUCACCCACAGAAGAAGCACCGGCUAACUCCGUGCCAGCAGCCGCGGUAAUACGGAGGGUGCGAGCGUUAAUCGGAAUUACUGGGCGUAAAGCGCGCGUAGGCGGUCUGAUAAGCCGGUUGUGAAAGCCCCGGGCUCAACCUGGGAACGGCAUCCGGAACGGUCAGGCUAGAGUGCAGGAGAGGAAGGUAGAAUUCCCGGUGUAGCGGUGAAAUGCGUAGAGAUCGGGAGGAAUACCAGUGGCGAAGGCGGCCUUCUGGACUGACACUGACGCUGAGGUGCGAAAGCGUGGGUAGCAAACAGGAUUAGAUACCCGUGUAGUC